GUGAGGAGGGGCUGGCAGGGACCCCUCCAAGUUGGGGAUGGCAGCCAGCCCCUGCUCACCCCUUGCC
This 67-nucleotide microRNA precursor is filed under the name Pongo abelii (Sumatran orangutan). Its description in RNAcentral is "miRNA". Lineage: Eukaryota; Metazoa; Chordata; Mammalia; Primates; Hominidae. The record is from RNAcentral.